GACGUCAGCGCCCACCCCUCCUCAGGCAGCUCCCAUCACCCUCCUGCUAAAGUUUCCGCCGCCUUUUAUUCCUCUCCAGCCCGCCCUCAUCCUGGCGAAGAGCUCCCUUUAGACACCCGGAUAGUUGCCCCCGCCGGCAUUAACCAACGGGCACACGAAGCUCUUGAUUUUCGUUGCGCGCCAGCCUCUGGCGGCGCCCGCAGAGCCCGGACGGAAAGGGCCGCCGGGGAUGGGGAGGAGGGACGGCUCCCCRCGCCUCGCACCUCUCCGGCAGCGGGCGCCGGCUUGGCAGCGCUCCCGUCCUCCUGCCCUUCUCCCCCGCGGGGCACCGGCGCGCACCAGGCUCGGCCCCGCCGGAGGGGGUGGGGGGUUGAGGAUGGGGAGCCCGCGGGCGCCUUCACUGAGGCCACCGACCCCAUCGAGCUGCCCUCCUCCCCGGGCGUCCCCGGCUGGSUCCGAGCCGCCAUCCCGGCCCCCAAGCAGCCCACGAGGGACGGCUCCGGGAUAACUCUUAAAACCCCCCCUUGGCCGGAUGCCUUCCCCCCCCCCCGCAGGCCCCCGGUCCGGACCCCGCACCGGUCCGCUUCCUCCUCUGCCCUCUCCUCGCACUGGCCACCGAGAGCAGACCCGGCUGGGAGCGAUGGCGAAGCAAGGACCCACCGGGCUGGCGAAAUCCUGAAAACAAAGAAAACGAGCCAGACCAGCACUCGGUCAUGGGGCAGAGGGAACGGCCUUUCCACCUGGGAGAUACCACCGACACACACGGACGUGGCCGUGUUUCCAAGCAGAAAAAAGGGCCGGGCCGGGCCGGGUCGGCGCACCUCCCCGCGUGCUGCCUGUGAACCCGCCGGGACGUGGGGACAGAUGACGAGAUCCGUGAAAUUGCUACUGCCAGGGAGGGAAAUGAAAAUUAACCUUGUGCCCAUCAGCUGCCUCGGCGGCACCCUUUCCGAGCCAGCCUUGACCAUCGCCCCCCUCGCCGGGAGAGGCUUUCCGCYCCGCGCGCCUGCCAUUCAGCCCGUGAUGUCUGACACGCCGCAGCCCCGUGUUAGCGCAUAAUAAACUCCGCCGUGUUAACAGAUUGCUUUAAAUCCAGCACUUUCUUUCCGAUUCUCAUUUGCUUUGCCUUUCACACUGCUUUCUCGUGUAUAAAAGGGGAACUGGGGGGAAAAAGAAAGAAAAGAGAAAGACACAUGAGCACCUGAAAAUCUUUUUCAUAUACCUGCUGCUGCUACCACUCGGUGCCGAAUCUGAAUAGAAAUGGAUGGGAGGGAGAUGGGGAAGGAUGAAUAACAUUUCAUGCCCUGUAGUCAAACAUAAUUUCAGGCAGGAAACGAGCAGGGACUGGUAAGAUGGCUCAUCCUGUUAGACAGCUAAUGUGCACUUCAGAACCCRCUCUUUGAAGACCAGGGUCUAAUUUCCAGUGUGCAAUUACAACACUGGUAAUAACGGUUCAGAAAAUGGGGUCACCUUCUGG
This 1477-nucleotide long non-coding RNA is filed under the name Apteryx owenii (little spotted kiwi). Its description in RNAcentral is "lncRNA (ENSAOWG00000011368.1)". Lineage: Eukaryota; Metazoa; Chordata; Aves; Apterygiformes; Apterygidae. The record is from RNAcentral.